This 249-nucleotide ribosomal RNA is filed under the name uncultured bacterium. RNAcentral's name for it is "partial 16S ribosomal RNA". It matches the Rfam family "Bacterial small subunit ribosomal RNA", at positions 1251 to 1500 of the family's 1533-position model. The record is from RNAcentral.
AAGACAGUGAUGUGGAGCAAAUCCCUAAAAACGGUCUCAGUUCGGAUUGUAGGCUGCAACUCGCCUACAUGAAGUCGGAAUUGCUAGUAAUCGCGGAUCAGCAUGCCGCGGUGAAUACGUUCCCGGGCCUUGUACACACCGCCCGUCAUACCAUGGAAGUUGGUAACACCCGAAGCCUGUAGCCUAACCGCAAGGAGGGCGCAGUCGAAGGUGGGAUUGAUGACUGGGGUGAAGUCGUAACAAGGUAUC